Columba livia (rock pigeon) is the source of this 568-nucleotide long non-coding RNA. RefSeq lists it as uncharacterized. The record is from RefSeq and is a predicted model, not a curated record. NCBI's taxonomy places the organism in Eukaryota, Metazoa, Chordata, Aves, Columbiformes, Columbidae. The transcript has 4 exons.
CAAGCCCAGCUGCACUGGGGUGAGCUUUUAAGUUUGGCAGGUUGAGGCUAUUUUACUCUUAUUCUGAGGGUGACUGUUCCUUGCUGCAGGUUCAUCUCUGCUGCAAGGGAUGGUCGAGGAGCCAGUGGGGUGGGUGCCUGCUAUUUCUUCAGAAGUGAAAUCAUCAUCAUCAUCCAAAUCAAAGCGUUUCACUUAUGAACUAUGGAAGUAGAAGGAUCCAGAUAUGUUUUUCCAAAGCCACGGGAUCUCUAGAAGUUUGUUUUCCUUGAAAGUCAGAUUUGUAUCAUUUGAACGAGGACUUCAAAACUGCAAAUACAGUCAAUACCAAGAACAGACAGGGCACAGCCGGAGCGCACACUGCAUUUGGACAUGGACUGUGUUAUCCUACCUGGAUCGUGGACUAUUGUCAAUGCCAAAGCUGGGCUGGAUUAUACAGCGGCUGGUGCAAGACCAAACCUGAGCAAAAUGCAUGUGUUAGGUUUCUCUUGUUCCAUCCCUACGGAUCCACUCCCAUUCACAUUGAACCCUUCCACAUCUCUUCUUCAAUUUGAGGUGACCUUAAAGUGAG